UGGGGAAUAUUGCACAAUGGGCGCAAGCCUGAUGCAGCGACGCCGCGUGAGGGAUGGAGGCCUUCGGGUUGUAAACCUCUUUCGCCAGUGAAGCAGGCCAUCUUCUUUGUGGGGUGGUUGACGGUAGCUGGAUAAGAAGCGCCGGCUAACUACGUGCCAGCAGCCGCGGUAAUACGUAGGGCGCGAGCGUUGUCCGGAAUUAUUGGGCGUAAAGAGCUCGUAGGCGGCUGGUCGCGUCUGUCGUGAAAUCCCCUGGCUUAACUGGGGGCUUGCGGUGGGUACGGUCCGGCUUGAGUGCGGUGGGGGAGACUGGAGUUCCUGGUGUAGCGGUGGAAUGCGCAGAGAUCAGGAGGAACACCGGUGGCGAAGGCGGGUCUCUGGGCCGUUACUGACGCUGAGGAGCGAAAGCGUGGGGAGCGAACAGG
This 425-nucleotide ribosomal RNA is filed under the name bacterium. RNAcentral describes it as "partial 16S ribosomal RNA". It matches the Rfam family "Bacterial small subunit ribosomal RNA", at positions 355 to 776 of the family's 1533-position model. The record is from RNAcentral.